Molecule: transfer RNA, 87 nt
Filed under: Candidatus Wildermuthbacteria bacterium
Lineage: Bacteria; Candidatus Wildermuthiibacteriota
Description: tRNA-Ser
Rfam family: tRNA
About the family: Transfer RNA (tRNA) molecules are approximately 80 nucleotides in length. Their secondary structure includes four short double-helical elements and three loops (D, anti-codon, and T loops). Further hydrogen bonds mediate the characteristic L-shaped molecular structure. tRNAs have two regions of fundamental functional importance: the anti-codon, which is responsible for specific mRNA codon recognition, and the 3' end, to which the tRNAs corresponding amino acid is attached (by aminoacyl-tRNA synthetases). tRNAs cope with the degeneracy of the genetic code in two manners: having more than one tRNA (with a specific anti-codon) for a particular amino acid; and 'wobble' base-pairing, i.e. permitting non-standard base-pairing at the 3rd anti-codon position.
Source: RNAcentral
GGCGAGGUGCGGGAGCGGCUGAUCCGAGCAGUCUUGAAAACUGCCAUACCUGAAAAGGUAUCGUGAGUUCGAAUCUCACCCUCGCCG